UAGUACCAGGCAUGCCUGGCUGUUGCCAGGUAACUGUGGGGGUGGAGCUUAGACGGAAUGCUAACAACCCUCUCCUUACCGUUUGAGAUGCAAGCUGAUCCUGCUGCCAUGACUUCAUCCACACUGUGAACUUUAACCCUCUGGAGCGAUGAGACCAAUUAAACACUUUCUCUUCUAAGUUGCCUUGGCCGCGGUGUCUUAACUACACUGGUAGGAAGUUAACUAACGCAGCAACCGACGUCAGAACACUCAGACACGUUCCCUUGCGUGGAGGUAGUGGAAGAGACUAAGGUAACUUAAAAGAUGGUCAGAGAGAUGGAGCGAAGGUCUUAGCAAAUAGGAUAGAUGCUGCCUGUGCCCUGGACUGCCAGCUGCCCAACCCUACUUGCCCUUGAGGGUUGGAAAUCAGGUGGCCCGAAACUGAUGGCUCAGACUCUGAAAGCAGGCCCCAUGGUGGUGGAAUUCAUGACUCUGCUACAGCCUGCGAUCUUGAAGAACUGGAUUCGACACACUCUUUCAUACCAGGAGAAGUUCUAAGGUCUGGCGAUUAAAUAACAUGGAGAAAAUGUUUUCCCCUUUGGCACCAUUUGGUGGCACAGGUUCUAUCAUAAGUUGAGAGACAGUGAGAGGGUCAGAGCACGUAGAAAGGGAGGCUGGAAUAAAACGGACAGAGAAACCAUCA
Non-coding RNA from Rattus norvegicus (Norway rat), 682 nucleotides. NCBI's taxonomy places the organism in Eukaryota, Metazoa, Chordata, Mammalia, Rodentia, Muridae. The record is from RefSeq and is a predicted model, not a curated record.